AACGAACGCUGGCGGCAUGCCUAACACAUGCAAGUCGAACGAGACCUUCGGGUUUAGUGGCGAACGGGUGCGUAACGCGUGGGAACCUGCCCUUAGGUUCGGAAUAACUCCCCGAAAGGGGUGCUAAUAACGGGUAAUGUCUUCGGACCAAAGAUUUAUCGCCUUUGGAUGGGCCCGCGUUGGAUUGGCUAGUUGGUAGGGUAAAAGCCUACCAAGGCGACGAUCCAUAGCUGGUCUGAGAGGAUGAUCAGCCACACUGGGACUGAGACACGACCCAGACUCCUACGGGAGGCAGCAGUGGGGAAUAUUGGACAAUGGGCGAAAGCCUGAUCCAGCAAUGCCGCGUGAGUGAUGAAGGCCUUAGGGUUGUAAAGCUCUUUUAACCGGGAUGAUAAUGACAGUACCGGGAGAAUAAGCUCCGGCUAACUCCGUG
This 433-nucleotide ribosomal RNA is filed under the name uncultured bacterium. RNAcentral's name for it is "partial 16S ribosomal RNA". It matches the Rfam family "Bacterial small subunit ribosomal RNA", at positions 29 to 507 of the family's 1533-position model. The record is from RNAcentral.